CCUACGGGAGGCAGCAGUGAGGAAUAUUGGUCAAUGGGCGCGAGCCUGAACCAGCCAAGUAGCGUGAAGGAUGACUGCCCUACGGGUUGUAAACUUCUUUUAUAAAGGAAUAAAGUGAGGCACGUGUGCCUUUUUGUAUGUACUUUAUGAAUAAGGAUCGGCUAACUCCGUGCCAGCAGCCGCGGUAAUACGGAGGAUCCGAGCGUUAUCCGGAUUUAUUGGGUUUAAAGGGAGCGUAGAUGGGUGGUUAAGUCAGUUGUGAAAUUUUGCGGCUCAACCUUAAAAUUGCAACUGAUACUGGUAGUCUUGAGUAUAGUUGAGGUAGGCGGAAUUCGUGGUGUAGCGGUGAAAUGCUUAGAGAUCACGCAGAACUCCGAUUGCGAAGGCAGCUUACUAAGCUGCCACUGACAUUGAUGCUCGAAAGUGUGGGGAUCAAACAGGAUUAGAUACCCUAGUAGUC
This 460-nucleotide ribosomal RNA is filed under the name uncultured bacterium. RNAcentral's name for it is "partial 16S ribosomal RNA". It matches the Rfam family "Bacterial small subunit ribosomal RNA", at positions 338 to 795 of the family's 1533-position model. The record is from RNAcentral.